AUGAAAAGCUUUUCGAAUACACAGGUUCCACAGGGACUUCCAGCAGGCAGCAUGAGCAGUGUGAACUCCCCCGCCUGUCUGCUGGCACGAAACCAAUUCUACAGGACCAUCAGUCCCACUGAUAAAGAGAAGCCUGGGUGCAGUUCCUCUGAUAACCUGAAACAACCAAUGCAAAGUCAGGGGACUGUCUGGGUGAUCACUUCCUCACACCAAGGUGUCCCAGGACAAGAGACUGGAUUGAUGAUAAAUCUGAUUGUGAAGAACCCCUUCUCCAGCUCGGCCUCCUCCAAACAGCUGAGCCCAGCUGGCCCUGUGGUCAAAUAG
This is a long non-coding RNA of Pygocentrus nattereri (red-bellied piranha), 324 nucleotides long. The record is from Ensembl. Lineage: Eukaryota; Metazoa; Chordata; Actinopteri; Characiformes; Serrasalmidae.